This 467-nucleotide ribosomal RNA is filed under the name Segatella copri. RNAcentral's name for it is "bacterial SSU rRNA". It matches the Rfam family "Bacterial small subunit ribosomal RNA", at positions 1 to 452 of the family's 1533-position model. Lineage: Bacteria; Pseudomonadati; Bacteroidota; Bacteroidia; Bacteroidales; Prevotellaceae. The record is from RNAcentral.
UUUUACAAUGGAGAGUUUGAUCCUGGCUCAGGAUGAACGCUAGCUACAGGCUUAACACAUGCAAGUCGAGGGGAAACGAUAUUGGAAGCUUGCUUCCGAUAGGCGUCGACCGGCGCACGGGUGAGUAACGCGUAUCCAACCUGCCCACCACUUGGGGAUAACCUUGCGAAAGUAAGACUAAUACCCAAUGAUAUCUCUAGAAGACAUCUGAAAGAGAUUAAAGAUUUAUCGGUGAUGGAUGGGGAUGCGUCUGAUUAGCUUGUUGGCGGGGUAACGGCCCACCAAGGCAACGAUCAGUAGGGGUUCUGAGAGGAAGGUCCCCCACAUUGGAACUGAGACACGGUCCAAACUCCUACGGGAGGCAGCAGUGAGGAAUAUUGGUCAAUGGACGAGAGUCUGAACCAGCCAAGUAGCGUGCAGGAAGACGGCCCUAUGGGUUGUAAACUGCUUUUAUAAGGGAAUAAAGU